Molecule: ribosomal RNA, 763 nt
Filed under: Serratia sp. (in: enterobacteria)
Lineage: Bacteria; Pseudomonadati; Pseudomonadota; Gammaproteobacteria; Enterobacterales; Yersiniaceae
Description: bacterial SSU rRNA
Rfam family: Bacterial small subunit ribosomal RNA
Source: RNAcentral
AUUACUGGGCGUAAGCGCACGCAGGCGGUUUGUUAAGUCAGAUGUGAAAUCCCCGGGCUCAACCUGGGAACUGCAUUUGAAACUGGCAAGCUAGAGUCUCGUAGAGGGGGGUAGAAUUCCAGGUGUAGCGGUGAAAUGCGUAGAGAUCUGGAGGAAUACCGGUGGCGAAGGCGGCCCCCUGGACGAAGACUGACGCUCAGGUGCGAAAGCGUGGGGAGCAAACAGGAUUAGAUACCCUGGUAGUCCACGCUGUAAACGAUGUCGAUUUGGAGGUUGUGCCCUUGAGGCGUGGCUUCCGGAGCUAACGCGUUAAAUCGACCGCCUGGGGAGUACGGCCGCAAGGUUAAAACUCAAAUGAAUUGACGGGGGCCCGCACAAGCGGGUGGAGCAUGUGGUUUAAUUCGAUGCAACGCGAAGAACCUUACCUACUCUUGACAUCCAGAGACUUUCCAGAGAUGGAUUGGUGCCUUCGGGAACUCUGAGACAGGUGCUGCAUGGCUGUCGUCAGCUCGUGUUGUGAAAUGUUGGGGUUAAAGUCCCGCAACGAGCCGCAACCCCUUAUCCUUUGUUGCCAGCGGUUCCGGCCGGGAACCUCAAAAGGAGACUGCCCAGUGAUAAACCUGGAGGAAAGGUGGGGGGAUGACGUCAAGGUCAUUCAUGGCCCUUAACGAGUAGGGGCUUACACACGGUGCUACAAUGGCAUAUACCAAGGAGAAGCGACCUCCGCGGAGAGCAAGCGGGACCUCAUAAAGGUAGUGUCGUA